Molecule: ribosomal RNA, 433 nt
Filed under: uncultured bacterium
Lineage: Bacteria
Description: partial 16S ribosomal RNA
Rfam family: Bacterial small subunit ribosomal RNA
Source: RNAcentral
AACGAACGCUGGCGGCAUGCCUAACACAUGCAAGUCGAACGAGACCUUCGGGACUAGUGGCUCACGGGUGCGUAACGCGUGGGAACCUGCCCUUAGGUUCGGAAUAACACUCCUACAGGGGUGCUAAUACCGGAUAAUUUCUUCUGACCCAAGAUUCAUCGACUUUGGAUGGGCCCGCGUUGGUUUAGCUUGUUGGUAGGGUAAAAGCCUACCAAGGGUACGAUCCAUAGCUGGGUUGAGAGGAAGAGCAGCGACACUGGGACUGAGCCACGGCGGAGAAUACUACGGGAGGGAGCAGUGGGGGAUAUAGGAAAAUCGGGGAAAGCAUGAAGGAGCUCUGCUGGGAGAGUGAUGAAGGCGUUAGGGUAGUAAAGCUCUUUUACCCGGGAUGAUAAUGACGGUACCGGGAGAAUAAGCACCGGCUAACUCCGUG